This 484-nucleotide ribosomal RNA is filed under the name uncultured bacterium. RNAcentral describes it as "partial 16S ribosomal RNA". It matches the Rfam family "Bacterial small subunit ribosomal RNA", at positions 30 to 507 of the family's 1533-position model. The record is from RNAcentral.
AUUGAACGCUGGCGGCAGGCCUAACACAUGCAAGUCGAGCGGAUGAAGGGAGCUUGCUCCUGGAUUCAGCGGCGGACGGGUGAGUAAUGCCUAGGAAUCUGGCUGGUAGUGGGGGAUAACGUCCGGAAACGGGCGCUAAUACCGCAUACGUCCUGAGGGAGAAAGUGGGGGAUCUUCGGACCUCACGCUAUCAGAUUAGCCUAGGUCGGAUGCGCUAGUUGGUGGGGUAAAGGCCUACCAAGCCGACGAUCCGUAACUGGUCUGAGUGGAUGACCAGUCACACUGGAACUGAGACACGCUCCAGACUCCUACGCGAGGCAGCAGUGGGGAAUAUUGGACAAUGGUCGAAAGCCUGAUCCAGCCAUGCCGCGUGUGUGAAGAAGGGCUUAGGAUUGUAGAGCACUUUAAGUUGGGAGGAAGGGCAGUAAGUGAAUAUCUUGCUGUUUUGACGUUACCAACAGAAUAAGCCCCGGCUAACUUCGUG